RNAcentral lists this ribosomal RNA (348 nucleotides) under uncultured Setosphaeria. RNAcentral describes it as "SSU rRNA". It matches the Rfam family "Eukaryotic small subunit ribosomal RNA", at positions 20 to 370 of the family's 1831-position model. Lineage: Eukaryota; Fungi; Ascomycota; Dothideomycetes; Pleosporales; Pleosporaceae. The record is from RNAcentral.
GUAGUCAUAUGCUUGUCUCAAAGAUUAAGCCAUGCAUGUCUAAGUAUAAACGACUUUGUACUGUGAAACUGCGAAUGGCUCAUUAAAUCAGUUAUAGUUUAUUUGAUAGUACCUUACUACAUGGAUAACCGUGGUAAUUCUAGAGCUAAUACAUGCUAAAAACCUCGACUUCGGAAGGGGUGUAUUUAUUAGAUAAAAAACCAAUGCCCUUCGGGGCUUUUUGGUGAUUCAUGAUAACUUUACGGAUCGCAUAGCCUUGCGCUGGCGACGGUUCAUUCAAAUUUCUGCCCUAUCAACUUUCGAUGGUAAGGUACUGGCUUACCAUGGUUUCAACGGGUAACGGGGAAU